GAUGAACGCUGGCGGCGUGCUUAACACAUGCAAGUCGAACGAAGCACUUUAUUUGAUUUCCUUCGGGACUGAUUAUUUUGUGACUGAGUGGCGGACGGGUGAGUAACGCGUGGGUAACCUGCCUUGUACAGGGGGAUAGCAGUUGGAAACGGCUGCUAAUACCGCAUAAGCGCACGGCAUCGCAUGAUGCAGUGUGAAAAACUCCGGUGGUAUAAGAUGGACCCGCGUUGGAUUAGCUAGUUGGUGAGGUAACGGCCCACCAAGGCGACGAUCCAUAGCCGACCUGAGAGGGUGACCGGCCACAUUGGGACUGAGACACGGCCCAAACUCCUACGGGAGGCAGCAGUGGGGAAUAUUGCACAAUGGGCGAAAGCCUGAUGCAGCGACGCCGCGUGAGCGAAGAAGUAUUUCGGUAUGUAAAGCUCUAUCAGCAGGGAAGAUAAUGACGGUACCUGACUAAGAAGCACCGGCUAAAUACGUG
This 481-nucleotide ribosomal RNA is filed under the name uncultured bacterium. RNAcentral describes it as "partial 16S ribosomal RNA". It matches the Rfam family "Bacterial small subunit ribosomal RNA", at positions 28 to 507 of the family's 1533-position model. The record is from RNAcentral.